CCUCUUCUGAGUGUUUACAUCAUCAAAAUCUACUUUACGUUUGUUACCUUCUCCUCCAUCAAUCCUCUUCUCAUCUUCAAUUCCCACAGAUCUGUUACUGGAUCCAACCCAGAGACCUCUAGCAUUCAGACUUAUGGAUGAUGCAUCACGAUCAGCAUUUCUACUUGUGAGGUCGUGGAAGUUCUCUUGUGGUUUCGACGAAUCACCCCUAUGAGAAUGAGAUCCACUGCCUGGAUCUUGAUUCAGAGGGCUGGCACCAAGAAGAACUUUAAAAUCUUCUUUCGAUUUGUCUGCUUUCUCAACUUCUGUCCCAAUAUCCAAUGAGCUUCCAAUUUUUCC
This 339-nucleotide long non-coding RNA is filed under the name Linum usitatissimum (flax). RNAcentral describes it as "long non-coding RNA (LUSI_LNC001190)". Lineage: Eukaryota; Viridiplantae; Streptophyta; Magnoliopsida; Malpighiales; Linaceae. The record is from RNAcentral.